RNAcentral lists this ribosomal RNA (427 nucleotides) under uncultured bacterium. Its description in RNAcentral is "bacterial SSU rRNA". It matches the Rfam family "Bacterial small subunit ribosomal RNA", at positions 355 to 775 of the family's 1533-position model. The record is from RNAcentral.
UGGGGAAUCUUGCCCAAUGGGCGCAAGCCUGAGGCAGCGACGCCGCGUGGGGGAAGAAGGCCUUCGGGUUGUAAACCCCUUUCAGGAGGGACGAAGCCACUCGGGUUAAUAGCCCAGAGGGUGACGGUACCUCCAGAAGAAGCCCCGGCUAACUACGUGCCAGCAGCCGCGGUAAUACGUAGGGGGCAAGCGUUGUCCGGAUUUAUUGGGCGUAAAGAGCGUGUAGGCGGCCAGACAGGUCCGUUGUGAAAACUCGAGGCUCAACCUCGAGACGUCGACGGAAACCGUCUGGCUAGAGUCCGGAAGAGGAGUGUGGAAUUCCUGGUGUAGCGGUGAAAUGCGCAGAUAUCAGGAAGAACACCUAUGGCGAAGGCAGCACUCUGGGACGGUACUGACGCUGAGACGCGAAAGCGUGGGGAGCGAACAG